This 253-nucleotide ribosomal RNA is filed under the name uncultured bacterium. RNAcentral describes it as "partial 16S ribosomal RNA". It matches the Rfam family "Bacterial small subunit ribosomal RNA", at positions 524 to 776 of the family's 1533-position model. The record is from RNAcentral.
GACGGAGGAUGCAAGCGUUAUCCGGAAUGAUUGGGCGUAAAGCGUCCGCAGGUGGCCGUUCAAGUCUGCUGUCAAAGACCGGGGCUUAACUUCGGAAAGGCAGUGGAAACUGAACAGCUAGAGUAUGGUAGGGGCAGAGGGAAUUCCUGGUGUAGCGGUGAAAUGCGUAGAGAUCAGGAAGAACAUCGGUGGCGAAGGCGCUCUGCCGGACCAUAACUGACACUCAGGGACGAAAGCUAGGGGAGCGAAUGGG